GCGACUGGGCCGACAGUCCCUGAAGUGACACACAGGGCACAGGGUGAGGAAGGGCUAAACCCCGAAAGAUGUGGGAGUCCAGGGAGAAAGUGGAGUUGAAGACAGCCUCCAGGGCUGGACCCAGGGUUGCCCUGCCAGGCAGCCCUCCUUAGGACCUGUCUGUAGCGGGGGUGUGGGUCCAUGAAGGGCGUGCCCCAGCACCGCAUCCCCACCAGCCACAGCACGGCCAGUCUGUAUCAGGAUCUUUUCCAAAGGAUUGACUCUGAAUCAGGUGGCCAGCAUAUUGGAGCUUCAGCUUCGGUAUAAGUCCUUCCAAUUGAACAUUAAGGGUUGAUUUCUUUUAUGAUUGACUGGUUUGAUCUCUUUGCAAUCCAAGGGACUCUCAAGAGUCUUCUCCAGCACCACAGUAUGAAAAGUUCCCAGUCCUGCAGGGCACCAAAUCCAGCCCGUGGAGUGGCCCCGAAGGGCAGACCUCUUUUGUUCACACAGCAUCUCUGCUAGGCUGCAGCACAACCUCUGCAGAACUUGCCCUAGGAAAAAGGCCUCUGGGUGACCACUCCCUACUCCAGCUCCUCGCCAAGGAAAGAGCUGGAUCCCACCAUCUAGGAGCCAAGACUCAGCAGACAUGGGUCUGAGUCACAGCACCACUAGCCAGCCAUGGACCCAAGGCUCAGUUUUCCCAUCUGAGAAAUGGAUGUGAAAAUAAAACCUGGCCUACCCUCUGGUGUUGGCAGGCAUAUCCCAGAAAGCACGUGAGGAUGAACUCUGCAGAUUGAGGAUGUGUGGUGUUGGAAGAGGCAGCCUCCUGCCAGGCUCCCUCCCGGCCUGGCCGCCUGCACAAGACAGCCCAGUCCUGAGCUCAUGGCACUCUGAGAACUUUCCAAGUUAGCAACCACAGCAUCUUCCAGAGGAGAGAAGAGGUCACUAGAGGGCUGGGUGUGUAGAAGGUGCGGGGUUGCAGAAAAACCAUGCAAAUCAUUUGUAUAAAAUGUUUCAUUCGAUGUCUGUACUGAAAAAAAAAUACAUACAACCUGAAAGUAAA
This is a non-coding RNA of Odocoileus virginianus texanus, 1042 nucleotides long. NCBI's taxonomy places the organism in Eukaryota, Metazoa, Chordata, Mammalia, Artiodactyla, Cervidae. The record is from RefSeq and is a predicted model, not a curated record.